UCCCUGGCACUCCAGUGGUUAGGAUUGGACACUUUCACUGCUGUGGCCCAGGUUCAAUCCCUGGUCAGGGAA
This 72-nucleotide transfer RNA is filed under the name Bos taurus (domestic cattle). It matches the Rfam family "tRNA". Rfam says of the family: Transfer RNA (tRNA) molecules are approximately 80 nucleotides in length. Their secondary structure includes four short double-helical elements and three loops (D, anti-codon, and T loops). Further hydrogen bonds mediate the characteristic L-shaped molecular structure. tRNAs have two regions of fundamental functional importance: the anti-codon, which is responsible for specific mRNA codon recognition, and the 3' end, to which the tRNAs corresponding amino acid is attached (by aminoacyl-tRNA synthetases). tRNAs cope with the degeneracy of the genetic code in two manners: having more than one tRNA (with a specific anti-codon) for a particular amino acid; and 'wobble' base-pairing, i.e. permitting non-standard base-pairing at the 3rd anti-codon position. The record is from Rfam by way of RNAcentral. Lineage: Eukaryota; Metazoa; Chordata; Mammalia; Artiodactyla; Bovidae. RNAcentral also lists the same sequence under 4 other names.